AGCAGUCGCCACGGUAAUGCGGAGGGUGCAAGCGUUAAUCGGAAUUACUGGGCGUAAAGCGCACGCAGGCGGUUUGAUUAGUCAGAUGUGAAAUCCCCGGGCUCAACCUGGGAACUGCAUUUGUGACUGGCAAGCUAGAGUGUGGCAGAGGGGGGUGGAAUUCCGCGUGCAGCAGUGAAAUGCGUAGAUAUGCGGAGGAACACCGAUGGCGAAGGCAGCCCCCUGGGCCAACACUGACGCUCAUGCACGAAAGCGUGGGGAGCAAACAGGAUUAGAUACCCCUGUAGUCCCUGUCUCUUAUAC
RNAcentral lists this ribosomal RNA (303 nucleotides) under uncultured bacterium. Its description in RNAcentral is "partial 16S ribosomal RNA". It matches the Rfam family "Bacterial small subunit ribosomal RNA", at positions 507 to 807 of the family's 1533-position model. The record is from RNAcentral.